This 309-nucleotide long non-coding RNA is filed under the name Lathyrus oleraceus (garden pea). Its description in RNAcentral is "Pisum sativum (pea) long non-coding RNA (PSAT_LNC023510)". The record is from RNAcentral. Lineage: Eukaryota; Viridiplantae; Streptophyta; Magnoliopsida; Fabales; Fabaceae.
CUUAUUUGCAUCGGUCCCCUACGUAGAGGAUGCGUAGGCCGGAGCUGACUGCUGAGAUAAACUACUGAGGACUUAUACGGAAAUGAUGAUUAAGGCCAUGGUAUGUGGGGUUUCGGGAGUGAUUCCUAUAUUUACGAAGUCUAUGGUGCUAAAAUAAUACUGAUGUUUCGCAAAGUUCUCCCAAGUCACCGCAUCCUUACUCAAAACAUGUCUUUAAAACCUGAAAACUUUCGGAAUAACACUAUUUUCUUUUGCAAUUUUUUUUCUGGUGGGGCUAAAGGUAUGGGGAGGUAGGAUUGUACUAAAGAU